This 773-nucleotide ribosomal RNA is filed under the name uncultured bacterium. Its description in RNAcentral is "bacterial SSU rRNA". It matches the Rfam family "Bacterial small subunit ribosomal RNA", at positions 649 to 1420 of the family's 1533-position model. The record is from RNAcentral.
UNGGAGAGGAAAGUGGAAUUCCUAGUGUAGCGGUGAAAUGCGUAGAUAUUAGGAAGANCACCAGUGGCGAAGGCGACUUUCUGGACGAAAACUGACGCUGAGGCGCGAAAGCCAGGGGAGCGAACGGGAUUAGAUACCCCGGUAGUCCUGNCCGUAAACGAUGGGUACUAGGUGCAGGAGGUAUCGACCCNUUCUGUGCCGGAGUUAACGCAAUAAGUACCCCGCCUGGGGAGUACGACCGCAAGGUUGAAACUCAAAGGAAUUGACGGGGGCCCGCACAAGCGGUGGAGUAUGUGGUUUAAUUCGACGCAACGCGAAGAACCUUACCAGGUCUUGACAUUGAUGGACAGAACUAGAGAUAGUUCCUCUUCUUCGGAAGCCAGAAAACAGGUGGUGUACGGUUGUCGUCAGCUCGUGUCGUGAGAUGUUGGGUUAAGUCCCGCAACGAGCGCAACCCCUAUCUUACGUUGCCAGCACUUUGGGUGGGGACUCAUGAGAGACUGCCGCAGACAAUGCGGAGGAAGGCGGGGAUGACGUCAAAUCAUCAUGCCCCUUAUGACCUGGGCUACACACGUACUACAAUGGGAGUUAAUAGACGGAAGCGAGAUCGCGAGAUGGAGCAAACCCGAGAAACACUCUCUCAGUUCGGAUCGUAGGCUGCAACUCGCCUACGUGAAGUCGGAAUCGCUAGUAAUCGCAGGUCAGCAUACUGCGGUGAAUACGUUCCCGGGCCUUGUACACACCGCCCGUCACACCACGAAAGUCGGAAGUGC